RNAcentral lists this ribosomal RNA (256 nucleotides) under uncultured bacterium. RNAcentral's name for it is "partial 16S ribosomal RNA". It matches the Rfam family "Bacterial small subunit ribosomal RNA", at positions 524 to 776 of the family's 1533-position model. The record is from RNAcentral.
UACGAGGGGAGCAAGCGUUGUUCGGAUUUACUGGGCGUAAAGGGCGCGUAGGCGGUCGUGACAAGUCACUUGUGAAAUCUCCGGGCUUAACUCGGAACGGUCAAGUGAUACUGUCGGACUAGAGUACAGAAGGGGGCAACUGGAAUUCUCGGUGUAGCGGUGAAAUGCGCAGAUAGUCAGGAAGAACACCCGUGGCGAAGGCGGCUCUCUGGGACGGUACUGACGCUGAGACGCGAAAGCGUGGGGAGCGAACAGG